UUGCUAAGGCCGAUGGCGACCGGCGCACGGGUGAGUAACACGUAUCCAACCUGCCCUUUACUCGGGGAUAGCCUUUCGAAAGAAAGAUUAAUACCCGAUGGGAUAAUUAUUCCGCAUGGUUUGAUUAUUAAAGGAUUCCGGUAAAGGAUGGGGAUGCGUUCCAUUAGGUUGUUGGUGAGGUAACGGCUCACCAAGCCUUCGAUGGAUAGGGGUUCUGAGAGGAAGGUCCCCCACAUUGGAACUGAGACACGGUCCAA
Molecule: ribosomal RNA, 257 nt
Filed under: uncultured bacterium
Lineage: Bacteria
Description: partial 16S ribosomal RNA
Rfam family: Bacterial small subunit ribosomal RNA
Source: RNAcentral